RNAcentral lists this ribosomal RNA (433 nucleotides) under uncultured bacterium. RNAcentral's name for it is "partial 16S ribosomal RNA". It matches the Rfam family "Bacterial small subunit ribosomal RNA", at positions 29 to 507 of the family's 1533-position model. The record is from RNAcentral.
AACGAACGCUGGCGGCAUGCCUAACACAUGCAAGUCGAACGAGACCUUCGGGUCUAGUGGCGCACGGGUGCGUAACGCGUGGGAACCUGCCCUUAGGUUCGGAAUAACUCCCCGAAAGGGGUGCUAAUACCAGAUAAUGUCUUCGGACCAAAGAUUUAUCGCCUUUGGAUGGGCCCGCGUUGGAUUAGCUAAUUGGUAGGGUAAAAGCCUACCAAGGCGACGAUCCAUAGCUGGUCUGAGAGGAUGAUCAGCCACACUGGGACUGAGACACGGCCCAGACUCCUACGGGAGGCAGCAGUGGGGAAUAUUGGACAAUGGGCGAAAGCCUGAUCCAGCAAUGCCGCGUGAGUGAUGAAGGCCUUAGGGUUGUAAAGCUCUUUUACCCGGGAUGAUAAUGACAGUACCGGGAGAAUAAGCUCCGGCUAACUCCGUG